This 219-nucleotide ribosomal RNA is filed under the name uncultured bacterium. RNAcentral describes it as "partial 16S ribosomal RNA". It matches the Rfam family "Bacterial small subunit ribosomal RNA", at positions 116 to 334 of the family's 1533-position model. The record is from RNAcentral.
CGUGAGUAACCUGCCUUGGAGUGGGGAAUAACACAGUGAAAACUGUGCUAAUACCGCAUAAUGCAUUUGGGUCGCAUGAUUCUGAAUGCCAAAGAUUUAUCGCUCUGAGAUGGACUCGCGUCUGAUUAGCUAGUUGGCGGGGUAACGGCCCACCAAGGCGACGAUCAGUAGCCGGACUGAGAGGUUGGCCGGCCACAUUGGGGCUGAGACACGGCCCAG